GUAGCUUGUAUCGACCCGAGCUGUGCCGAAGCUAACGCGAUAAGUAUCCCGCCUGGGGAGUACGCACGCAAGUGUGAAACUCAAAGGAAUUGACGGGGGCCCGCACAAGCGGUGGAGUAUGUGGUUUAAUUCGAUGCAACGCGAAGAACCUUACCAGGGCUUGACAUGUCGCGAAUCUAGCGGAAGCGUUAGAGUGCCUUAGGGAAUGCGAACACAGGUGGUGCAUGGCUGUCGUCAGCUCGUGCCGUGAGAUGUUGGGUUAAGUCCCGCAACGAGCGCAACCCUCGUCCUUAGUUGCCAAUAUUAAGUUAGGCACUCUAGGGAGACUGCCGGGGACAACUCGGAGGAAGGUGGGGAUGUCGUCAAGUCAGCAUGCCCCUUACGUCCUGGGCGACACACGUACUACAAUGGUUGGGACAAAGGGCAGCAAACUCGCGAGAGUAAGCGAAUCUCAUCAAACCCAGCCACAGUUCAGAUUGCAGGCUGCAACUCGCCUGCAUGAAGUAGGAAUCGCUAGUAAUCGCAGGUCAGCAUACUGCGGUGAAUUCGUUCCCGGGCCUUGUACACACCGCCCGUCACACCAUGGAAGCUGGCUACGCCCGAAGUCGUUACCCUAACCCGGUUUUGGGAGGGGGAUGCCGAAGGUAGAGCUAGUGACUGGGGUGAAGUCGUAACAAGGUAGCCGUACCGGAAGGUGUGGCUGGAUCACCUCCUUU
Molecule: ribosomal RNA, 716 nt
Filed under: uncultured cyanobacterium
Lineage: Bacteria; Bacillati; Cyanobacteriota
Description: bacterial SSU rRNA
Rfam family: Bacterial small subunit ribosomal RNA
Source: RNAcentral